UGUUGGACGCGAACCCGGUGUCAUGUGACUUCUGACUUUGUCCACCCCAGUCGAACACCAGCACCUCCACGUCAUUGUACGGUUGAAGCAACACUUCCCCAUGUUUAUACUCCAUGCUUUUAGCAAUAAAUGUCUUUCUUAUUACUUGCCGUAACAGCAUGCUAGAUUUCUGAGAUUCAUGCAAAAGGACAUUCAGAUCCCUCUGCACUAAUAAAUUUUUAAUUUUCUCUCCCAUUCAGAUGGUAAGUUGCCUUUUUCAAUUCUUCUGACUACAAUGGAUAGCCCCAUUGUUGAUGUGACUGAGCCACACACAUUUCAGUGUCAAAUGGAGGGGGUCCUCAAUUUGAUCUGUUUUGCUUUCAAUUUGCAAAUGAGUCAGACACAAUAGUACAUUUGCCACAAUGUAAAAUUGCUGGGUUUGCACCCCACAGCGAUUUUCACCCUGUUUGGACUGUUUUUGAAACCUGUUGCAAGUUGCUGACCACUUCACUAACUUACCUCUGCUGCUGGGAACUGCUGGAAGAAUCAGCUAGAGAAAAUAAGAGAGAGAAAACAUGGGAAUGUUUUACUAUGCUGCCAGACCAGCUGAGUUUCUCCAGCAAUUUUUCCAAGUGUUCAAGUCAAGUCUUCAGCCAGAGCCCAGUGAAGAAUGAGCACAGAUCAAUGAUGAAGAACGGGUUACCUGGCACCAUGAGGUUGAUGGAAUUACUGGUCACAUUAAAUAUCAUUCCACCAGGACCCCGGUUGAUCACAACGCACUGGUAUUGACCUUGGAGAUGGGCCUGGAAGGAUUCAAUUGCCAGCUCUCUCCUGUCCAAGCUAAAGUUGUAGUUCUGACUGGCAUUGUUUAAGGCUUUCUGUUGGACGUACCACUGAAAGUCGGGUCCUGUGCCUUGGCUUAAUACACACUCCAGAACAAGACAACUCCCAAUCGGAACCUCCGUUUUAUUGGCUCGGGAGAUGGGGAAAACCCCUGCAACAGGAACUGGAACAAAACAAAGACAAAUAGGAAAUAAAUGAUCAGGUGUUGAAUUUGUCUAUUUUGUUUUACAGAUGUUAUCUUCAAUUACAGUAUAAUAAUGGAUGGAAAGGAGAAAUAAAUCGAACAAGAUUUCACAUUGUUGCAAAGGUGA
Long non-coding RNA from Rhincodon typus (whale shark), 1133 nucleotides. RefSeq lists it as uncharacterized. The record is from RefSeq and is a predicted model, not a curated record. NCBI's taxonomy places the organism in Eukaryota, Metazoa, Chordata, Chondrichthyes, Orectolobiformes, Rhincodontidae. The transcript is spliced from 2 exons.